GAUGAACGCUGGCGGCGUGCCUAAUACAUGCAAGUCGAGCGAACAGACGAGGAGCUUGCUCCUCUGACGUUAGCGGCGGACGGGUGAGUAACACGUGGAUAACCUACCUAUAAGACUGGGAUAACUUCGGGAAACCGGAGCUAAUACCGGAUAAUAUAUUGAACCGCAUGGUUCAAUAGUGAAAGACGGUUUUGCUGUCACUUAUAGAUGGAUCCGCGCCGCAUUAGCUAGUUGGUAAGGUAACGGCUUACCAAGGCGACGAUGCGUAGCCGACCUGAGAGGGUGAUCGCACACACUGGAACUGAGACACGGUCCAGACUCCUACGGGGGGCAGCAGUCGCGAAUCUUCCGCAAUGGGCGAAAGCCUGACGGAGCAACGCCGCGUGAGUGAUGAAGGUCUUCUGAUCGUAAAACUCUGUUAUUAGGGAAGAACAAAUGUGUAAGUAACUAUGCACGUCUUGACGGUACCUAAUCAGAAAGCCACGGCUAACUACGUG
This 497-nucleotide ribosomal RNA is filed under the name uncultured bacterium. RNAcentral describes it as "partial 16S ribosomal RNA". It matches the Rfam family "Bacterial small subunit ribosomal RNA", at positions 28 to 507 of the family's 1533-position model. The record is from RNAcentral.